This 75-nucleotide transfer RNA is filed under the name Sigmops gracilis (slender fangjaw). RNAcentral's name for it is "tRNA-Leu(UUR)". Lineage: Eukaryota; Metazoa; Chordata; Actinopteri; Stomiiformes; Gonostomatidae. The record is from RNAcentral.
AUUAAGGUGGCAUAACCCGGUAAUUGCAAAAGACCUAAGCCCUUUCCCUCAGAGGUUCGACCCCUCUCCUUAAUU